RNAcentral lists this unclassified non-coding RNA (187 nucleotides) under fungal sp. RNAcentral's name for it is "partial internal transcribed spacer region". The stretch from base 1 to 46 matches the Rfam family "Eukaryotic small subunit ribosomal RNA", at positions 1786 to 1831 of the family's 1831-position model. The record is from RNAcentral. Lineage: Eukaryota; Fungi.
AAGUCGUAACAAGGUUUCCGUAGGUGAACCUGCGGAAGGAUCCUUGCACAAUCAAUGACACUUUCCGACACUGACUGCUUGGGGAAACAUUGCCUAUAGAACUACCGCUCGAUUGUAACUGUUCCAAUGUUGUAAUACAUUGGGUAAAAAAACAGAACAACUGUUAACAAUGGAUAUCUUGGUUCUC